UACAGAGGUCUCAAGCGUUGUUCGGAUUCAUUGGGCGUAAAGGGUGCGUAGGUGGCGCGGUAAGUCGGGUGUGAAAUUUCGGAGCUUAACUCCGAAACUGCAUUCGAUACUGCCGUGCUUGAGGACUGGAGAGGAGACUGGAAUUUACGGUGUAGCAGUGAAAUGCGUAGAGAUCGUAAGGAAGACCAGUGGCGAAGGCGGGUCUCUGGAGAGUUCCUGACGCUGAGGCACGAAGGCCAGGGGAGCAAACGGG
This 253-nucleotide ribosomal RNA is filed under the name uncultured bacterium. RNAcentral's name for it is "partial 16S ribosomal RNA". It matches the Rfam family "Bacterial small subunit ribosomal RNA", at positions 524 to 776 of the family's 1533-position model. The record is from RNAcentral.